CUUUCCAACCCCCUUGCCCCUUGGAUGAUAAAACUAAGGCCCACGGGAUCCUCGGGAGAGCUUCAGUGCCUGCCCGCUUGCAUCUCUCAGGAUCACCCCAUCCUACAGGACCCCCAAAGACUUCUGAGAAAUUCUUGGCCUGCAAAAGAAAGGAAUUCCCUUCUCUGGGAAAGCUGCCUCUACUCCUAUAUGAUUAAAAUGGCCAUGUGCAGCAACAGCGCUAAUAGAAGCCCCACAGGUUUUCAAGCUUCUGACCCCCUGAAUUUGAUUAGCCUUCUCCCUCCUGGUUACACUGACUAUGGAAACCUCACAAGAUUCUCUUACUGAACCCUCUGGUAUUUGUUAUCCACGCUUCAGUAUAUAGUUCUUUGUGUUUAGUUAUUCUUGUUGGCUUGGAAUUUGACCUAUCGUAUUUGCUCCUCUUCAUCACAUAUGCUGCCAGUUUUCUCAAAUGAUUUUAAAAUUAGAAGCCUUGCACAUUAUGGGAGAGGCUUUCUGUAGUAUCAGCAUGGCUCAACUCACCCCUUCCUGAGAACUGCCUCACCCACCUUCAGGAAGGGGACAUGGCAGCCAUUUGUCAUCUGGACCUGCCCCUCCCUGACCAGAGCUGACUGGGUCCAGGGUGAACAGCUGUCUGAAAACCAGUCAGUUUUCUCCCCUAAAUGUAGAAUUGGGCUUAAAAUAAAUGAGUCCAUCCGCUGGUUGCUGGACUCAAAGAUGGGCCAGCUCAGGAGCUGUGGGUGG
Non-coding RNA from Sus scrofa (pig), 744 nucleotides. The record is from RefSeq and is a predicted model, not a curated record. NCBI's taxonomy places the organism in Eukaryota, Metazoa, Chordata, Mammalia, Artiodactyla, Suidae.